GGUCGGGUGCCGCCGAAUCGUCAGCGUCACGAACCGGGGACCCACCGCAACUCUGGGGUGAAUCCGCGCCACCGCGCGGUAGGGCGAGCUUCCCGCCCGAAUCCGUCAGCUAACCCGGUAGGCGGCCGCGAAGGAGGCU
Molecule: small RNA, 139 nt
Filed under: Actinomycetota bacterium
Lineage: Bacteria; Bacillati; Actinomycetota
Description: Actinobacteria bacterium c-di-AMP sequence
Rfam family: c-di-AMP riboswitch aptamer (ydaO/yuaA leader)
About the family: This family represents a conserved RNA structure found upstream of the ydaO and yuaA genes in Bacillus subtilis and related genes in other bacteria.
Source: RNAcentral